UUUUAGACAUCGUUACUUCAUGUGUGAGGAUUGGGAGAGUGGUGUGAGACUUUUGUUGAUCACAUGGAGUAUCUUUCGUAGCGUGGGAGCCCUCAGUUGAUGUGAAUUGAACAAGGGAAUACACAAACCUGCGUGGAGUUACUUGAAGACUUAAUUCUGUUCAUUUUGGACCUGAGCGUGGAGUAUUCCUGUCCAUUGGAUGAGACUGUUAUUGAACUUCUACACAGAGUUUAAAGAAGUACUUCCACUUAAAUACUCAGUUUUCUUUGAAGAACCACUAGCAAGAAGAAAAGCUACUUCCAAAAUACCCUGCUGGAUGAUUUUUAUGGCAUUACAAAAAAUGCUGCUAUCUCUUUCUUCUUUAUUUCCUUUGUAUUUUUCAAGCAGAUUCUUAUGAUUCCUACUCUUUAUCAAGGAUGUUGUACUACUGCUUGGUUUAGAAGAAUUAACUUGUUUUAUGGAAGUCCUUGAAAUUAGUCGCAUCCAUCUAAGAUCCAUAGGAUCUUUGGAAGAGGGGUUUUGACGGAUGUAUCUGUUUGUCUAAUUCUGUCCAAAGCAUCAAUCCCAGGAAUUUUGUGAACUCUGGUAAUUGGGAAUUUGGGCAGUCAGUUUAUGCCUAUUUGGAGAGUAGGUAUGACAGUGUUCUAUGGUAGUUAUGCCAGCAGAGUCCUCCUUCACGGCAAUUGUGUUGUUUAGUAAUUCCUAUAGAUUUCAUAUGCAGAACAAUGGAGAUGUAGAAGUGCAGUAGGCCAGAGCCCAUGAAUCCUAAUCUUCUAGGGCAUCUCUCUGUAACUUCUGUGAAAUUAUAACCUAAGGUUUUUACUUCUAGCCAAAGAAGAAAAACUAAUGCUUGGUUACAUGAUCACAACAAUACUAAUGGAAAUCCCUGCAGAGGCAAAAGCUCAGGUGUUACACUACAUUAUUUUUUUAGGUCAUUGAACAAGAUUUACAAGAGAAAAUCUGAAGCCAAACAAAAAAAAAAGCAUUCCUGUACAAUCUUCAGAACAGUCUGCAAGAGGUUACUGUAUUUAUUGUUCUUUGUUAAGAUUUUAGUAGCUAGUAUUAAU
This is a long non-coding RNA of Cryptomeria japonica (Japanese cedar), 1067 nucleotides long. RefSeq lists it as uncharacterized. The record is from RefSeq and is a predicted model, not a curated record. NCBI's taxonomy places the organism in Eukaryota, Viridiplantae, Streptophyta, Pinopsida, Cupressales, Cupressaceae. The transcript has 3 exons.